GAUUUUCCAUUAUAUGUUUACCUCCACGCGGUGAAAAUCGGGCAACGUCAAAUAAAUUGGCGGCAAAAGAACGU
This is a non-coding RNA of Camponotus floridanus (Florida carpenter ant), 74 nucleotides long. NCBI's taxonomy places the organism in Eukaryota, Metazoa, Arthropoda, Insecta, Hymenoptera, Formicidae. The record is from Rfam.